UACAGAGGUCCCAAGCGUUGUUCGGAAUUACUGGGCGUAAAGCGCGCGUAGGCGGCUUUGUAAGUUAGAGGUGAAAGCCCAGGGCUUAACCCUGGAAUUGCCUUUAAGACUGCAUCGCUAGAAUCGUGGAGAGGUGAGUGGAAUUCCGAGUGUAGAGGUGAAAUUCGUAGAUAUUCGGAAGAACACCAGUGGCGAAGGCGACUCACUGGACACGUAUUGACGCUGAGGUGCGAAAGCGUGGGGAGCAAACAGG
Molecule: ribosomal RNA, 253 nt
Filed under: uncultured bacterium
Lineage: Bacteria
Description: partial 16S ribosomal RNA
Rfam family: Bacterial small subunit ribosomal RNA
Source: RNAcentral